GACGAACGCUGGCGGCGUGCCUAAUACAUGCAAGUAGAACGCACAGUUUAUACCGUAGCUUGCUACACCAUAGACUGUGAGUUGCGAACGGGUGAGUAACGCGUAGGUAACCUGCCUGGUAGCGGGGGAUAACUAUUGGAAACGAUAGCUAAUACCGCAUAAUAUUGAUUAUUGCAUGAUAAUUAAUUGAAAGGUGCAAUUGCACCACUACCAGAUGGACCUGCGUUGUAUUAGCUAGUAGGUGAGGUAACGGCUCACCUAGGCGACGAUACAUAGCCGACCUGAGAGGGUGAUCGGCCACACUGGGACUGAGACACGGCCCAGACGCCUACGGGAAGCAGCAGUAGGGAAUCGUAGGCAAUGGACGAAAGUCUGAACGAGCAACGCCGCGUGAGUGAAGAAGGUUUUCGGAUCGUAAAGCUCUGUUGUAAGAGAAGAACGGGUGUGAGAGUGGAAAGUUCACACUGUGACGGUAUCUUAACAGAAAGAGACGGCUAACUACGUG
This 505-nucleotide ribosomal RNA is filed under the name uncultured bacterium. Its description in RNAcentral is "partial 16S ribosomal RNA". It matches the Rfam family "Bacterial small subunit ribosomal RNA", at positions 28 to 507 of the family's 1533-position model. The record is from RNAcentral.